Molecule: transfer RNA, 70 nt
Filed under: Bavayia centralis
Lineage: Eukaryota; Metazoa; Chordata; Lepidosauria; Squamata; Diplodactylidae
Description: tRNA-Trp
Source: RNAcentral
AGAAACUUAGGUUAGACAAAACCAAGAGCCUUCAAAGCCCUAAACAGAGAACAAACACCUCUAGUUUCUG